AUUUAAAUAGCUUAUGUUAGAGCAUAGCAUUGAAGCUGCUAAGGAAAUAUUUAUAUUUUUAAAUA
RNAcentral lists this transfer RNA (65 nucleotides) under Lachesilla pedicularia. RNAcentral's name for it is "tRNA-Phe". It matches the Rfam family "tRNA". From Rfam's summary of the family: Transfer RNA (tRNA) molecules are approximately 80 nucleotides in length. Their secondary structure includes four short double-helical elements and three loops (D, anti-codon, and T loops). Lineage: Eukaryota; Metazoa; Arthropoda; Insecta; Psocodea; Lachesillidae. The record is from RNAcentral.